UCCCUGGCGGCUCAGAGGUUAAAGCAUCUGCCUGCAAUGCGGGAGACUCGGGUUCGAUCCCUGAGUUGGGAA
This 72-nucleotide transfer RNA is filed under the name Ovis aries (sheep). It matches the Rfam family "tRNA". From Rfam's summary of the family: Transfer RNA (tRNA) molecules are approximately 80 nucleotides in length. Lineage: Eukaryota; Metazoa; Chordata; Mammalia; Artiodactyla; Bovidae. The record is from Rfam by way of RNAcentral.